Molecule: non-coding RNA, 175 nt
Organism: Caenorhabditis elegans
Lineage: Eukaryota; Metazoa; Nematoda; Chromadorea; Rhabditida; Rhabditidae
Source: Ensembl
GAUUUUGAAGGCUCCCAGUCGAUAAGAGGCAUCUGGAAACAAAAUAUAUAAUAUGCAAAAACUUCAGAAAAUGUCGAAUACGUACGAGUUAGUCAAAAACUCAUUAAUUUAUAUAGAUUUAAAAAUAGACUCCGCCCAUAUCUUGUAUUUCGUUAAAUGAAUACUUUUUUCUUAA